RNAcentral lists this unclassified non-coding RNA (960 nucleotides) under Lucilia cuprina (Australian sheep blowfly). RNAcentral's name for it is "plasminogen receptor (KT), transcript variant X2". The record is from RNAcentral. Lineage: Eukaryota; Metazoa; Arthropoda; Insecta; Diptera; Calliphoridae.
AAUAUUUUGCAAAUGUGUCUGUCAGAUUGCUUUGACAAAACGUUCAAUACAUACAAACAAAAAUUAUCAAAAUAUUAAACAAAAUACAUAACUAAAUGAAAAAAACAAUUGGCAAAUGCAUAGAUAAAAACAAUUUAAAUUAAAAAAAAAUUAUUAAAUAAUAAUAAAAUAACAAUAAUUUACUUUUAACUAGAAAAUAAUUAUUUAAUAAUUUUGUGUAAUUGUUAAGUAAUAAUAAAAAUAAAAAAAUGGGUAAUAAAUCCUCUAGUAAUAUUUCAACUUAUCCCCAACAUGACGAUCCGGCCUAUAGAAAAUGUCAAGAAUUAAAGAUGGAACGUUGGAUACAAAUGCACUAUCAAAUUAAGGAACGUGAACAGGCCACUGAAAUUGCCCGUAAUAGAGAAUUUUUCUAUUGGUUAAGUGGUUUCUAUAUAACAUCCCUGCUGGGUUGUUUUUCAUUUUAUCAACGCACACGUAGACCGGUUACAUUACUGCCCAUGGUACCUUUGUCAUUUGUUAUGGGUUAUUAUGGUGAUUUAGCUUAUGGCAGUAAGAUACAUCGUAUUAAAGAUUUGACUGUUACCAAAAUUAUAACCGAUUUGGGUUUACUAGGCCCAUUUUUGGGUGUACCACCGCCCCCAAAAUGAAUCUGAUUUAUGCCAAAAAAACCUUUUACUUUAAACAACUUUAAACUUAUUAUUUGAGUUUUGUUUGAAAAACAAAAAACCAAAUGUUGUGCAGCUUUAAAUAAUUAAAAUGAACAAUUGAAAUUAUUGUUUCAAAUAAAAUGAUUUAUUUUAUAAAAAAAAUUAUAAUAAAAACUGAAGCCAAUAUGAUAAUGGAACAUGAAUCAGAACUGUUGCAUUGGCCUGGUGGUCUACCCACAGUGGCUACUAUUGAUGAGGCACGUGUCGAGGCUGAAAUGGAAAAGAAAAUGCAUCCCCACCAUUCAUAGGCUCU